UACGUAGGGUGCAAGCGUUAAUCGGAAUUACUGGGCGUAAAGCGUGCGCAGGCGGUUUUUUAAGUCAGAUGUGUAAUCCCCGAGCUCAACUUGGGAACUGCAUCUGAGACUGGAAGGCUAGAGUACUGGAGAGGGUGGUGGAAUUCCUCGUGUAGCGGUGAAAUGCGUAGAGAUGAGGAGGAACACCAGUGGCGAAGGCGGCCACCUGGACAGUAACUGACGCUGAGGCGCGAAAGUGUGGGUAGCAAACAGGAUUAGAUACCCCGGUAGU
This 271-nucleotide ribosomal RNA is filed under the name uncultured bacterium. Its description in RNAcentral is "partial 16S ribosomal RNA". It matches the Rfam family "Bacterial small subunit ribosomal RNA", at positions 524 to 794 of the family's 1533-position model. The record is from RNAcentral.